GCUGGGCACAGUGGCGCAUGCCUGUAAUCCCAGCAGCUUGGGAGGCUGAAGCAGGAGGAUCACAAAUUCAAAGCCAGCCUCAGUAAGUGCUUAGACAUGAGGCCCUGUCUCUA
Molecule: small RNA, 113 nt
Filed under: Marmota monax (woodchuck)
Lineage: Eukaryota; Metazoa; Chordata; Mammalia; Rodentia; Sciuridae
Source: RNAcentral